GUCUCCCCGCUCUAAUCAGUGAAACUGAUCUCCCCGUGAAGAAGCGGGGAUAAACAUAUAAGACGAGAAGACCCCAUGGAGCUUUAAACCCGACAGCACCCGCUUUUUCUAUAUCCUCUUAUACACCCGACGUCUGUCUGCUCGGUUUUAGGUUGGGGUGACCGCGGAGCAUAAAACAACCUCCAUGAAAAAGGAUGAUUCCCUUAUUUAAGAACCACACUUCCAGAAAAUAAUAGAUUAAUUUUAAUUGAUCCGAUAUUACAUUCGAUCAACGAACCAAGUUACCCUGGGGAUAACAGCGCAAUCCGCCCCGAGAGCCCAUAUCGACAGGCG
RNAcentral lists this ribosomal RNA (333 nucleotides) under Boophis axelmeyeri. Its description in RNAcentral is "partial 16S ribosomal RNA". It matches the Rfam family "Bacterial large subunit ribosomal RNA", at positions 2018 to 2514 of the family's 2925-position model. The record is from RNAcentral. Lineage: Eukaryota; Metazoa; Chordata; Amphibia; Anura; Mantellidae.